This 199-nucleotide ribosomal RNA is filed under the name uncultured bacterium. Its description in RNAcentral is "partial 16S ribosomal RNA". It matches the Rfam family "Bacterial small subunit ribosomal RNA", at positions 328 to 539 of the family's 1533-position model. The record is from RNAcentral.
ACGCUCGACACCUACGGGGGGCAGCAGUGGGGAAUAUUGCACAAUGGGGGAAACCCUGAUGCAGCGACGCCGCGUGAAGGAAGAAGUAUCUCGGUAUGUAAACUUCUAUCAGCAGGGAAGAAAGUGACGGUACCUGACUAAGAAGCCCCGGCUAACUACGUGCCAGCAGCCGUCGGUAAUCUGAGCGGGCUGGCAAGGC